This 261-nucleotide unclassified non-coding RNA is filed under the name uncultured Pleosporales. RNAcentral's name for it is "sequence contains 5.8S rRNA gene, ITS2, 28S rRNA gene". The stretch from base 1 to 52 matches the Rfam family "5.8S ribosomal RNA", at positions 103 to 154 of the family's 154-position model. The record is from RNAcentral. Lineage: Eukaryota; Fungi; Ascomycota; Dothideomycetes; Pleosporales.
AACGCACAUUGCGCCCUUUGGUAUUCCAAAGGGCAUGCCUGUUCGAGCGUCAUUUGUACCCUCAAGCUUUGCUUGGUGUUGGGCGUUUUUUGUCUUUGGUCUGCCCAAAGACUCGCCUCAAAACGAUUGGCAGCCGGCCUCCUGGUUUCGCAGCGCAGCACAUUUUUGCGCUUGCAAUCAGCAAUAGAGGGCGGCACUCCAUCAAGACUCGUUUUUAUCACUUUUGACCUCGGAUCAGGUAGGGAUACCCGCUGAACUUAA